Dipodomys ordii (Ord's kangaroo rat) is the source of this 58-nucleotide non-coding RNA. NCBI's taxonomy places the organism in Eukaryota, Metazoa, Chordata, Mammalia, Rodentia, Heteromyidae. The record is from Rfam.
UGGCUCAGUGGUAGAGCAUUUGCCUUGCAUGCAUGAGGCCCUGGGUUCAAUUCCUCAG